RNAcentral lists this ribosomal RNA (423 nucleotides) under uncultured bacterium. RNAcentral's name for it is "bacterial SSU rRNA". It matches the Rfam family "Bacterial small subunit ribosomal RNA", at positions 202 to 622 of the family's 1533-position model. The record is from RNAcentral.
AAGACCUCGCGCUAUUGGAGCGGCCGAUGUCCGAUUAGCUAGUUGGUGGGGUAAUGGCCCACCAAGGCGACGAUCGGUAGCUGGUCUGAGAGGAUGAUCAGCCACACUGGGACUGAGACACGGCCCAGACUCCUACGGGAGGCAGCAGUGGGGAAUUUUGGACAAUGGGCGAAAGCCUGAUCCAGCCAUGCCGCGUGAGUGAAGAAGGCCUUCGGGUUGUAAAGCUCUUUCGGCCGGAACGAAAUCGAUCGGGCUAAUACCUCGGUUGGAUGACGGUACCGGAAGAAGAAGCACCGGCUAACUACGUGCCAGCAGCCGCGGUAAUACGUAGGGUGCAGGCGUUAAUCGGAAUUACUGGGCGUAAAGCGUGCGCAGGCGGCUUCCUAAGUCAGAUGUGAAAUCCCCGGGCUUAACCUGGGAACU